RNAcentral lists this ribosomal RNA (493 nucleotides) under uncultured bacterium. RNAcentral's name for it is "partial 16S ribosomal RNA". It matches the Rfam family "Bacterial small subunit ribosomal RNA", at positions 28 to 506 of the family's 1533-position model. The record is from RNAcentral.
GACGAACGCUGGCGGCGCGCUUAACACAUGCAAGUCGAACGGAAAGGCCUGCUUUCCCUUGUGGAUUGCGGGUACUCGAGUGGCGAACGGGUGAGUAACACGUGAGUGAUCUGCCCCCAACUUGGGUAUAAGCCUGGGAAACUGGGUCUAAUUCCCGAUAGGACUGCAGGGUGGUGCCUGUGGUGGAAAACGAUUUUCUAGUGGUUGGGGAUGAGCUCGCGGCCUAUCAGCUUGUUGGUGGGGUAAUGGCCUACCGAGGCGGCGACGGGUAGCCGGCCUGAGAGGGUGGACGGCCACAUUGGGACUGAGAUACGGCCCAGACGCCUACGGGAGGCAGCAGUGGGGAAGAUUGCACAAUGGGCGGAAGCCUGAUGCAGCGACGCCGCGUGGGGGAUGACGGCCUUCGGGUUGUAAACUCCUUUCGACCGCGAGGAAGCCACCUGGUUGGAAGGGUGGUGACGGUAGUGGUAGAAGAAGCACCGGCUAACUACGU